AGGACGAACGCUGGCGGCGUGCUUAACACAUGCAAGUCGAGCGGAAAGGCCCUUCGGGGUACUCGAGCGGCGAACGGGUGAGUAACACGUGAGCAACCUGCCCUUAGCUCUGGGAUAGCUCCGGGAAACCGGAAUUAAUACCGGAUAUUACACCGGCUGGCAUCGGCUGGUGUGGAAAGAUUUAUCGGCUAAGGAUGGACUCGCGGCCUAUCAGCUUGUUGGUGGGUAGAAGCCUACAAGGCGACGACGGGUA
Molecule: ribosomal RNA, 253 nt
Filed under: uncultured bacterium
Lineage: Bacteria
Description: partial small subunit ribosomal RNA
Rfam family: Bacterial small subunit ribosomal RNA
Source: RNAcentral